AGUGAACGCUGGCGGUAGGCCUAACACAUGCAAGUCGAACGGCAGCACAGAGGAGCUUGCUCCUUGGGUGGCGAGCGGCGGACGGGUGAGGAAUACAUCGGAAUCUACUCUGUCGUGGGGGAUAACGUAGGGAAACUUACGCUAAUACCGCAUACGACCUACGGGUGAAAGCAGGGGACCUUCGGGCCUUGCGCGAUUGAAUGAGCCGAUGUCGGAUUAGCUAGUUGGCGGGGUAAAGGCCCACCAAGGCGACGAUCCGUAGCUGGUCUGAGAGGAUGAUCAGCCACACUGGAACUGAGACACGGUCCAGACUCCUACGGGAGGCAGCAGUGGGGAAUAUUGGACAAUGGGCGCAAGCCUGAUCCAGCCAUACCGCGUGGGUGAAGGAGGCCUUCGGGUUGUAAAGCCCUUUUGUUGGGAAAGAAAUCCAGCUGGCUAAUACCCGGUUGGGAUGACGGUACCCAAAGAAUAAGCACCGGCUAACUUCGUGCCAGCCGCCGCAGUAA
Molecule: ribosomal RNA, 506 nt
Filed under: uncultured bacterium
Lineage: Bacteria
Description: partial 16S ribosomal RNA
Rfam family: Bacterial small subunit ribosomal RNA
Source: RNAcentral